UACAGAGGGGGCGAGCGUUGUUCGGAAUUACUGGGCGUAAAGGGCGCGUAGGCGGUCCGCUAAGUCGAACGUGAAAUCCCCAGGCUCAACCUGGGAACUGCGUCCGAUACUGGCAGGCUUGAAUCCGGGAGAGGGAUGUGGAAUUCCAGGUGUAGCGGUGAAAUGCGUAGAUAUCGGGAGGAACACCAGUGGCGAAGGCGGUUGCCUGGAGCUUUGCUGACGCUGAUGCGCGAAAGCGUGGGGAGCGAUCCGG
This 253-nucleotide ribosomal RNA is filed under the name uncultured bacterium. RNAcentral's name for it is "partial 16S ribosomal RNA". It matches the Rfam family "Bacterial small subunit ribosomal RNA", at positions 524 to 776 of the family's 1533-position model. The record is from RNAcentral.